GACGAACGCUGGCGGCGUGCUUAACACAUGCAAGUCGAACGGAAAGGCCCUGCUUUUGUGGGGUGCUCGAGUGGCGAACGGGUGAGUAACACGUGAGUAACCUGCCCUUGACUUUGGGAUAACUUCAGGAAACUGGGGCUAAUACCGGAUAGGAGCUCCUGCUGCAUGGUGGGGGUUGGAAAGUUUCGGCGGUUGGGGAUGGACUCGCGGCUUAUCAGCUUGUUGGUGGGGUAGUGGCUUACCAAGGCUUUGACGGGUAGCCGGCCUGAGAGGGUGACCGGCCACAUUGGGACUGAGAUACGGCCCAGACUCCUACGGGAGGCAGCAGUGGGGAAUAUUGCACAAUGGGCGGAAGCCUGAUGCAGCAACGCCGCGUGCGGGAUGACGGCCUUCGGGUUGUAAACCGCUUUCGCCUGUGACGAAGCGUGAGUGACGGUAAUGGGUAAAGAAGCACCGGCUAACUACGUGCCAGCAGCCGCGGUGAUACGUAGGGUGCGAGCGUUGUCCGGAUUUAUUGGGCGUAAAGGGCUCGUAGGUGGUUGAUCGCGUCGGAAGUGUAAUCUUGGGGCUUAACCCUGAGCGUGCUUUCGAUGCGGGUUGACUUGAGGAAGGUAGGGGAGAAUGGAAUUCCUGGUGGAGCGGUGGAAUGCGCAGAUAUCAGGAGGAACACCAGUGGCGAAGGCGGUUCUCUGGGCCUUUCCUGACGCUGAGGAGCGAAAGCGUGGGGAGCGAACAGGCUUAGAUACCCUGGUAGUCCACGCUGUAAACGGUGGGUACUAGGUGUGGGGUCCAUUCCACGGGUUCCGUGCCGUAGCUAACGCUUUAAGUACCCCGCCUGGGGAGUACGGCCGCAAGGCUAAAACUCAAAGGAAUUGACGGGGCCCCGCACAAGCGGCGGAGCAUGCGGAUUAAUUCGAUGCAACGCGUAGAACCUUACCUGGGUUUGACAUGGAUCGGGAGUGCUCAGAGAUGGGUGUGCCUCUUUUGGGGUCGGUUCACAGGUGGUGCAUGGCUAUCGUCAGCUCGUGUCGUGAGAUGUUGGGUUAAGUCCCGCAACGAGCGCAACCCUUGUUCACUGUUGCCAGCACGUUAUGGUGGGGACUCAGUGGAGACCGCCGGGGUCAACUCGGAGGAAGGUGGGGAUGACGUCAAGUCAUCAUGCCCCUUAUGUCCAGGGCUUCACGCAUGCUACAAUGGCUGGUACAGAGAGUGGCGAGCCUGUGAGGGUGAGCGAAUCUCGGAAAGCCGGUCUCAGUUCGGAUUGGGGUCUGCAACUCGGCCUCAUGAAGUCGGAGUCGCUAGUAAUCGCAGAUCAGCAACGCUGCGGUGAAUACGUUCCCGGG
This 1343-nucleotide ribosomal RNA is filed under the name uncultured bacterium. RNAcentral describes it as "16S ribosomal RNA". It matches the Rfam family "Bacterial small subunit ribosomal RNA", at positions 28 to 1378 of the family's 1533-position model. The record is from RNAcentral.